CCGUCCCUCCUGCUUUAAGGAGCAUAUCUUGUAUUGCACUUCUUUUGCUUUUAAGCUCUCCUUUUUCAGUUUUAAUAUCGUUCCUAGUUGUUCCUGAUACUGACUUAUACUCUCAAGAAGCACCCAGUAAUUUUGCAUCCAGUAGAUUUGCACUGCACUUAAAUCAUUUACCAAUCAGGGACUUUAUUGGAGCAAAACAUGUAUUGCUGCCGCUAUCUCUGUCACCAUGUGUUGUGUUACUUGUUAUGAAUAUUUGUAGAAGAGUCAAUUAACGUCUUUCAAUAACUACAAUUACUAGGUGCUCUCGAGGUGUCUUGUUUUGCCAUGAUCUUAUUGAUGAAACGUUUUCUUUUGAAGGUAUCUGUCAGUCAUCGGCUUUGUCAUCAACAUGGACACAUUGUUGAUAACGAUUCCUGACCUGCUCCAAGUUCAGCGUUAUGUCUGCACAUACCGCCUCAGUCAGGAUCACUUGGAGCUUUUGUUCUAUUCUGUCAGGGCAUCAGGUAGAAUUUGCACAUUUAUAAUUAGUCUUUUUAGUCCGUGGGCCAGACCGGAUAUUGGUACCUUCUGGGUGGGCAAAUUCUAGUAGAGAUUUUUUUAUACCUAUACAUCCCUAGUUUACAGUAUGUUUUGAUGUGAUAGACCUCUCAGACUGGUCACCUAUUGGUGGCUAUCACCUCAUGAAGUAACCCACCCCCUAAAGUAAACAGCACAUCAAACACCAGUGCGCAUCUUUUUAUAGCCUUCCUGUGGAAGGAACAUGGUUGUACAGUUAUUACCUUACUUACCAUUUAUAGACUACCUGUGGGAAAAAAUGGUUAUACAGUUUCCUUACUUACCCUCAGAAGAUAUAUAUUUUAUGACUCUGACUGUCCCCAUUAAACAUCUCUGUAAUGUAAGUGUGUAAAUGUUUUAGAUUCUUUUUAGGAGGCUGGAAUAACAAUCCAACUGCAGGGCAGUUUCAAGGCAUUUUCCGCCGUCUGAUGGUCCGUUGUGGUGUCUCACCAAGUGGGUCAGGCAACUGUGUCCCCUUCAGCUGCAGACAUGCACUCUGCUUUAAUGACAGAGGAAGAGCUCAUGUCCCCAUUUGCAAACAUUUCUGCAGUCAUAGUGACCACAGUUACCUGCCCACCCGCUUUGGAGGUCUUGUGGACAAUGCCCUUGUCUACAUUUCAGGGUUUGUUGUCAGAAAAAUUCUGAAAAAACUGUCCUGUGAGGUGUGCCAUGCAAGCGUUGUCACAGCUGCUGUACCCUGAUCCUUUGACCAGAGCUACCACCUGCUUGAGCUUGAAAACAAUGGUGGGCUGAUGAUCCCCUCAGAGGGAACAGUGAAGGUGGUCAGAGCAGCAGAGCGUGUGAUUCGACAAAACUCAAAAAAACAAGGUGUCAGUGUGUCCUUCGUCAACCGUUUCGUUCGGGCAGAGAUUGGUUCAGAGGAUGUGUUCUUACUCGGGGAGCACAUUGCAGAAACCCAAUUCGGAAUUGAGAACCAUCAUUUCAUGCUUGUGUCAUUUGUGGUGUCUGUAUUUCACAAAGUAAGGCUGCACCACAUCGCAAAAUUAACUACUCGGGAGUUACAGAAUGCCAGCAUAUGCAAGAAGCUGUGCAAAACAGUUCUUUCUCAAGGGGUUCCCAGCCCCAGUUGCAAUGUUUACGCAACAAAGUUUUUAGCAGUUCCUGGGUGUGGCUUAGUGCAGGGGAUUUCACCCCAAGGAAUAAAAUCAGUUACUCAUUAGGAGACAAGUUACCUAUUUAUUUUAAGUUAAACAUUAUAGGACACACAUAUCUAGUGUCCUUGUUAGAUAUGAUGUUGAUGUCACACAAACUGUCUAUAGUUUAGGUUAGCGAUGAUUUCACAACUGCACCAAAUUGAGCAUCAGUGGUACUGUUUACAAUGUACACAAACACUUGUUACAAUGUUAUGACAUCAGAUAGUUUACACCUAAACAAAUGCACGUGUGUGAGUGAGUGAGUGAGUGAGUGAGGAGAGAGAGAGAGAGAGAGAGAGAUAAAUUCAAAUGAACAAUCAAACUUUUUUCUUCAGUCUAUGAGGCGUCUAUGUAUAUUAUUUAUUAUGUGUAUGUGUUAAAGGACAGCAAGCGUUCUUUUAUGUUAUUUUAUGUUCUCACUUCCUGGUCUGUAAACCACCAUUCAUACAUUUUGUAUAAAUAUUAAAUACUUGCAUUAAACCUACAGUGUUUUAUAUAAGAAGUCUAUGAGGUGAUACAGUAAUUUUUGAACGGUUUUAUGAAUAAAAAUCAGACUAGAGAGGGCGGGACAAAUAUAGAGGUGCAGCUCAGAAUAGUUAGUCUUAUAUUUACCUUUACAAAAACAAAUAAAAAACCCCUAGUCUCAUCCUCCUACCCAACUACAAUCAGAGGCAUGUUGAUGUAAACAUGCAAGUCACAUCCAUAAUCAACAUUUAAACCUACAUAAACAACAGUAGUAAUAUAGAUAGACAGUAACAGUUUAACUCUGUCAUUUAACUUACACCUUUUAACUAAACAAUCACAAUUAAAGUCAUAUCCGUAUAUUUUACUGUCAUUCUACUGUAUGCAUGUUAAGACCCUAACAGAGGGGGCUGUAGGCCUUAGUGACACCCCCUCCGUACCUCUUACUCUUCAGCUUUGCGCAGUGGCAGUAUCGUAGCCUAUGAGGUUUAUCCGAGGCGUGAUUAUUGCUGGUUGAAAACUUUACCCAAUACCCCGCCUAGACGACUUGAAAUAUAGUCGGCGACGGCAAUUUUUGACGGUCUCUAAGGAGACUCAUGUGUUGUUUAAUAUAAACUUAAAUACUGUUAAACUACUUAUUUUAUCACAUGGUGAAAAUACAACGUGAUUAAGAUAUAAUUUUCCUCCUACAGUGUGUCUCUAUUCUUGUAAUUCUUGAUCGUAAUGCAGGACUUCAUCCAUGUUUAUAUUUCAGUGUAAUAACUGGUCAUUUAAGUGUUUUGAUUUCAGUCCACUGAAAGUAAAUCUGUAGUUUCAAUAUGUUCUGUUAUGUUUAUAUGUUUAACUCACUGUUAAAAUGAGACUGAUAAUUGGUUAAGGUAAAACAUGGCAUACUCAGAAGAGUUAGGACCAUAUAUAUACAUAUAUAUUAUAUAUAUAUGUAUAUAUAUAUAUAUAUAUAUAUUUAUUAUUAUGUCUGUGGUCAGAACUUAUUAUCGUGCCCAGUGUGGUUGUGUUCAGGGACCCAUAAAUAAAGACGUACACCGGGUACGUCACGUCCGUGUAGAAGUUAUCUCACUUGUUGUGUAUUUAUUUAACGUUGUAGGUGAGUUUUUAUGUUAUAUUGUUCGUUGUUUGUGACUUUAGUUGUUACUAGUUAACUACACUAAGUUACUAUAUAAUUCAUUCAUCAUAAUAUGUUACAUAACGGCCGUUUGGUUACUCGGUUACACUUCGGGACUCUUUAGCAUUUCCUUUUUGUCUAUCCUGUCUUCUACAUAUGAACUGCUCCCAUUUUUAAAUACAGCUUUAUAAAGUACACAUGGCUCCUCUUCGGAGAUGUUAUGUUUGACCUUUCUACACAAUAAUAACGAUCCAUAUGAAACUCGUACAUUUGAAACCACGCCCAUGAAUGAAACCCUAACAGAGAGGUGUGUGUCCCGGAGACACCACCAUGGCGUUUCCAGUCAGUCUUCAGCUUUGCGCAGUGGCAGUAUCGUAGCCUAUGAGGUUUAUCCGAGGCGCGAUUAUUGCUAGUUGAAAACUUUACCCAAUACCCCGCCUAGACGACUUGAAAUAUAGUCGGCGACGGCAAUUUUUGACGGUCUCUAAGGAGACUCAUAAACUGUUGAAGUAAAAGAUUAUUCAAUGACUUCAAUGUUAGAGAUUUCUGUAAAAUUUUAGAGAAUAAUCUAACAGAAGAUAUUACACCGUGCUUUAGAUUAAGUCUGUUUUUGUAAUACAAUGUGAUAUUCUCUAUUCUUGUAGUCUCCGAGCAUAAUGCAGGACUUCACCCAUAUCUGUGUUUCAGUGUAAUAACUUUUUUUUCCUUUUACUGUUUUGAUUUGGGAAUUUCUGCCAGUGAAAGUAAAUCUAUAGUUUCAAUUUGUUGUGUUAUGUUUAUAUGUUUAACUCACUGUUAAAAUGCGACUGAUAAUUGGUUAAAGUAAAAAAAAAAAGAAUAAUAAAGACAUUAAAUACUUGCAUUAAACCUAUAGUGUUUUAUAUAGAAGUCUAUGAGGUGAUACAGUAUUUUUUAAAUCAAAAUCAGGCUAGAGAGGGCGGGACAAAUAAUAGAGGUGUAACUCAGAAUAGUUAGUCUUAUAUUUACCUUUAAAAAAACAAAUAAAAAACCUCUUUGGAGAGUGACUCUAGUCUCAUCCUCCUACCCAGAUACAAUCAGAGGCAUGUUGAUGUAAACAAAGUCACAUCCGUAAUCAACAUUUAAACCCACAUAAACAACAGUGGUAAUAUAGAUAGACAGUAACAGUUUAACUCUGUCAUUUAACUUACACCUUUUAACUAAACAAUCACAAUUAAAGUCAUAUCCGUAUAUUUUACUGUCAUUCUACUGUAUGCAUGUUAAGACCCUAACAGAGGGGGCUGUAGGCCUUAGUGACACCCCCUCCGUACCUCUUACUCUUCAGCUUUGCGCAGUGGCAGUAUCGUAGCCUAUGAGGUUUAUCCGAGGCGUGAUUAUUGCUGGUUGAAAACUUUACCCAAUACCCCGCCUAGACGACUUGAAAUAUAGUCGGCGACGGCAAUUUUUGACAGUCUCUAAGGAGACUCACAUUAUGUCUAAAUAAAAUACAAUAUGCUCUAAGUAGUGUAGAGUAAGGGGUGAAUGUAAACCUUGAGAUUUAAUGGAGGACCUUAAGACGCUCCUAAUUUCCUAGAGUAACAUACCACUUUAUGUUCUAUAUACCUUACACUUGUAGUUUACUGUAAAUUUUUUAUGUUAUAGAAACUAUUAGCCUUUAAAAUGUGUAGUAUGCAGUAGACUUGAAGCUUUUCUAUUUUUUGUCAAUUCAAUUUUUAACGUAUUUGUGGUGAUCAUUCACCAUGCUUUGUUAGUAGUACCUCAGCUCUCCAUAGGGGGACAUUUAUUUUCAUUCUGUAUAGUUUGACUGGUGUCUGCAGUCCCUGUAACAUUAUUUUCCUUUUGUAAAAGACUCAGACCACUAAGGCCAUAAUAUCAGUAGGCGUAAUGCAACACUAAUGUAAGAUAGUUAAAGGAACCAUUCCUCACACUACUGUAUACUAUACACUAGAUAAUAUAAUGCAUACUUACAUUACCCUUUUUACUUGAAGGUAUAAACCUUUAAAUACAGAACUUGCACCUUUAAUGUGGUAUUAAACCUUUUUCUGUACUCACUCAUAUUUUGCUUUACCUGUAUGUAUUUUUAGUCACUGCUAUUGACUUGAAAUCAAUAACCUUAAAUAGAUAUUAUAUUUGUCACAGUGCAGUGUACUCUCCAGAACAGCAGAGGGCACUCUGGAACAAAAUAUGGGAUGGUGAAUGUGAGGAGAAAAUAAACUGUAGAGGAACAUACACUUGUUUCUGCUUAAAAUCAUUAAACACAAGUUAAUUUGUUUACUAGCCAAA
Molecule: long non-coding RNA, 5556 nt
Organism: Dicentrarchus labrax (European seabass)
Lineage: Eukaryota; Metazoa; Chordata; Actinopteri; Moronidae
Exons: 2
Source: RefSeq, a predicted model, not a curated record